CCAGGCACGGGGUAGCGAGGUGACAGAGCGGGUGGAGCGCCCCUGUACAGAGGAGCCCACCCACUACGGCCAAGCGCGGAGCACUCAGACCCGGGAGCGGAACACGAGGCGGGGGCCGAUGCUGCGCGGUACCGCGAGGGGGAGGCAAAGGGCCGCGCUGCCGGGGAGGGACGGCCGGGCACUGCCGGCUGCCCGGGGGAGGGAGAUCCCUGCCGGCAGCCCGGCCCUGCCGUGUGUAACUGGGAAAGAGAAAGAGAGGCGAAGGCUGGAGGCGGCUUGUCCUCAGUGGAGGGGCAAGGGAAGCGUGGGCCCGGCUGGUAGGAGGAGGUGAAAACUUGCAAAGCGAUGUCAGCAGAGGAAGACUCGCGAAAGCAGCGCCUGCCAGCGGGGCACCCAUCUCUAUUUCACACCGUGCCCACGGAGCCGUGUAUGCGACGUACAGACCCGUGGCCAAGGCCUAGGGGCAGCUCUGCUCGAUAGCGGAGGGCACUGCUGUUGAGCUGCAGGGAGAGGUGCGCGGCUCAAAUCCCCCGGCUUCUGUGGUUGCGUUCCCACACCUUCCCUGAUUUACUGACACCCAGCUGCCGGCGGGAUGCUGAGAGCAGCCCACCAACUUCCAGAUGUGAUCCUGCUACAGGUAUCAGGGAGGUGACUCCUCCUCCUGUCUCCAAAACACGGCAUCUCAGCACAUCUGCUCUGGCAGCUCCUGCGUUGUCAUUCCCAGGCUGCCGCUGGCAGCUCUCCAGGCCAAACUCCACAUAGCUGUGAGCUGUGAGCCAGCAUCCAGAGUGGGCAUGGGCUGCUUUCUGGCCAUGCUGCCACUGCAUGCCUGAGACUACAUAGGAGCCCCAUAUCUGCAGACAUGGAAGCCGGAGCAGGGCACCACAAGAGUUUGCUUCGAUGACAGCUGUCCUGUCUGCUCCUCUCUGAGUGGAAGAAACAGCAGCAGUAUCUUCCCAUCACACCCUGACAAUGAAGUACCCAGAGCCAUCCAGACAAGCCUAUCUUCUCAGUGCCACACUACAGCUCUCACAGGAGAAACCUGUAGGAUAAACAGUCUGUCCAAGCUCUAUGAAAAUUCAGCAUUGUUAAAACCUCCUAAGAGACUGCAGUGCAAAGCUGUAUUUGCUUUUAUAUACAAGCUAGCCAAGUAGGCAGAAAUACACUAUAGGCCACCAGUCUAUUCAGGAUUAGAUGAACUAAUGAUUCUUUCUUGGCUGCUUUCAAGUGCUUAGGAGCUUUGGAAUUAUCCCAGAGCAAAAGGACCUUUAAAGCUGCAGCAGAAAUGCUAAGUCACAGCCUGAAGCAGUGAUUGAGCACCUGGUGGGAAGGCAGGGCCAACCCAGGGGAGCUCAGCUGCAUGCAAUACACCUGAGUGACUGGAAGGAAUAGUGCCAGGAUCCACCCGUUCCCAGACCUCAUUUAAGGAUGGGCAGUGGGGGUGAGGAUAUUUUUCUGGAGAUCCCUGCCUACCUGAGACCUUCCAAAGCCCAGAGCACCUACGAGACAUUCCUGGUGGGGAGCCAGCUGCGGCAUCACUCUUUGGCAGCUGCCAAGCCUGCUUGAGAAGUUCUAAGCAAGGACAGCACUUCUGGUAGAAGAGUUCCUGGGAGGAGAUGCUACCUGCUGCUAGAGUGCCUGGCUAAGUGCCCAUUACCCUCACUGCUCAGCAGCUGUCUUCACAUGACCACAGUGUGACAUGACAGAUCUGCAUUAUCAUGGCAGCAAGCCAUACUUCUUCUCCCAAAACCUGGAUCUUAUCUUGUCACUGGUGACAUUUCCUCCAUCAAAAAGUGACCACCAACUGUUCCUUCAUUUCUUUCCCUUUGGCUGGGAAAUGACAUUACGCCCUUUGCACUUCUUAGAACUGAGCCUUUCCCAGCCCAUUGCAGUUCUGAAUUUGGAAACUAGGCUGCUGUUUGUGCAGAAACCUUUAUAUUCCCUCCUGACCCCACAAUCACUCCAGGAAAAAAAAAAAUACAUCUGUCAUUCAACAAAAUUCUCUAAUUUUUUAUUCCAGUGAUUAAUUCUUGCAUCAAAAUAACCAUAAUGUUUAGCAGUUAUGUAGCCUUUUGCCUAUAGAUGUCAAAGUGCUUCACAUAGCUGUUUUUCCAGAUAGGAAACUGAAACACGAGAGAUGAAGUGACUUUGCUCAAGGUCCCAGAGAAAAACAAUAGCAGAGCCAGGAAUAAAACUCGUGCCUUCUAAUUCCCGGAACAGCAGUCAAUCAACUUGGUCAAGUUGGGACUUCAUCUGUGGCUAUUAUUCUCUUCUAAUGAAGCAAUUUAUCUAUGAACUGCAUCUGAAUCAGAUUCCCUAGCAAAUUGAUUACACAUGCCUAAUUAACUUAUUAGAACUGAGGUUCAGCUUGAUCCACCUCAUCAAACAUGACUGGAAAUAGCUGUUUCUCUGGCGUAUAGGAGUGGGUAUCUUACUCCUUGUUGAAGGAGGACUUCCCAAUGUCUGAGCAAUAAAACCCAACACUCAGGAGCUUCUUGCAAAGCUUACUUCAAAUAUUUUUUCAGAUUUUUUGAGUCACCCAUCUGAAACUAGAUGUCCAAUUUCCCUCAAGAUUGCUAAGGCUUAUUAAUAAAAUGGCUGUAUCCAUUUGGACUGUAGCUGCAAGUUUCCCAAGAGAAACUGCUAUCUGUAAAAUGAUUCAAAUGUUUACAGGCAGAGUUACACUGGGCUGACUAAGGCAUGUCUCCAUCCUUGCAGAGUUCAAGAACUGUGAAGACAAUGAUCAACGCAACAUAACUUCCAGGUCUGUCUCAUUUUUAUGACUACUUCAGUCUGUUUCUUAUUCGAGUCUACUGUCAUUGCACCAAUGUGCAAGCUGGUCUUCAUCCCAUAAGUGUCAUGUAUGUGGCCAUUAGCAAAUGAAGAACAAGAAGUGCACAGAAGAACUAGAAUUUUUCAACUGGCAAUGAGAAACAUGUUGGGUGAAACUGUGGCUCCACUGUGAUAAUGGCAAAGAUCUCCUUUUGAGUUCAGGAAGGCCAAGAGAAACAGAUUUCAGAAGGGAAGAAGAGAUAUUACUUUAAGAGGCUUUUACUGGGGCACAUGGAAAACAGUGUACCCCAAACCAUUAUGAAUGAUGGGAAGUGCAGGUCUUUAGUCCUAACCUCUUUAUGCCUAAGAAAACAUAUUGUGUGCAGUUCUGCUCUUUUCUUAAUAGGCAGCUUAAGAAGAUGAAAGAGACAACGUUGUCUCUAAAAAUACUUGGUUCUCCUUAAAAUUAUGUACCUACUAUUCUUUUGAGCAGCUGAGCUAAUUAAAUGAGGAGCUAAAAUACAUCCUUGUUUUAGCUUUGCUCAGUGUGCUUCAUUUAAGGUUUACAGGUCAUUGUUGAAUAAUCGAACUGUUUCUCCCAGUGAGCCAGUUCCCAUCCUUUCCUGGCUAUUAGUCUGCUUUCACACAGCAGUAAGAGGGAGGUGAAAAAAUGAAAGGAUUUCUACAAAACAAAACAAACCAGCCAAAGCCAGUGGGUGAACACAGAGGGAAGUCUGCUAUACUAAGCUGACUGUCCACUUAAUAAAUGUGCAUUUAUUCCACCAUCUUUUUUAAGUUCCAAAUGCGAGGUUGUGUUGAAAGCAGACUAACUACAGAAAGUAUAUUCUCUUUAAGAAGUGCACUGAAAAACAGUCUAGUGCCUGUACAACUGUGUUCUGCUGGAUGAGGCCGUGGUUGGCCUAAACUCCAUCUUGUUAACAAUACAGAUAAUGGCUCAUAUAGCCAAAAGGCUAAUGCACAUUCUUCUUUGGCUAAGGAACUGGGGUCUGCCUAAUAUUUCAAAAAAUGAAGCUUUCUAUUCUAGGCUUCCUGUUGUCGUGCAGUGUAUCGUAGCUAUAAAAUUCAGAAAUAAAUAGUCCUGUUGCUCCUAACAGACCUUAGGUUUGCUUUAACGUGCUCCUACAGUUGUGCCUUUUUACACGUGCAAGCUUCCUCUCUUAACUGAGCUGUGGCAAACAAACCAUAAACUCUCAGCACUUCUGCUCUGGCAGAAGAGGAGAAAAGAAUUCUUACUUCAGUAAGAAGUAAUUUUGAGGACUCCAUCUGGUCCUUGGAUUUCCCAUAUCUAUCUCAGUCCACGCUGCCUGCUUUUGUUCAGUCAAUAAUAUAAAUCAAGUGCCUCAGUGCAACCGAAAGGAAAGCCAAGUAAAAAUUAUGCUUCCUGUUUGUGGUGUGUAGGUGUUGCACAUCUAAGAGCUAUAACAGUGGCUUAAUGCAUAUAGAGUAUUUCCAGUCUUAACAGAAAACAGGAGUGUCCAUUCAGUCAGUCUAUACCAUAAAACCUUGGGAUCCCAUUGCCACUCAGCCAGCAUCUCCAGGCAGGGAUGCCCACAGGCUGUGUAAGGCCUAGUUCUUUUCUUCUCACAUUUCAGCAGCCCUUUUUUUUUGGCAGUAAGCUGUACCAUGAAAAAUAGAGCCAUAUGCUAUACACUCCAAGUAGAAAUCUGUUCCCUUCCACAUUUUCUUGUAUAAAGCCCUUAUAUGCCUUCCGCUCUCUUUAGGGACAGACUGGCUAAUCCAUAGGACCAGAGAGAUGCUUCAAGUUCACAAGCCUCCGCAUUUCAGAUCCUGCUCCAGUUUAAACCAUGUUCCCCUUGGCACACAUCUUUCCUUGCCCUCAAAAUACCACAGCUUGCUCCUUCUGUAUCCUUUUGCCAUAGUCAGAUUUAAAUUAGAGGCAAUCAUCUAUCAAUAGUCAGAGUAUUUUAGCAUCUAAAGCAACCUGAUGAAAAUUGCCCUAAACCUCCUCCUGCUUCAUUUUCUUCUCUGUAAUUAUGAGAUGGUAUUUUGAUCUCAUUAUUGGCUCUGUGGCAUUGUGUGUUUGUCCGAGAAGGGCUGUGACAUGGUCAAACAGCCAGGACACAGAUGAAACACAGAGGUUGCUACGUUACUCAUCAGGCCUUGAUUUCUUCUGGGGAUAGAGAAGCUUAUUCUGGCCAGGGAAAUUACACUAGUGUGACUGGGAAGAGAUUUUGUUUUUCUUCUGCUGCAGAACUAGGAACAGGUAUGAAUGCAGUGCUUUUAAGGUUAGAGAGCCCAGCCUUCAUUAACAGGCCUGGGGAAGAGAGUUCCAUGAUAGAGGGAAUAUCUGGGAACCUGUGGAAAAGAAACAGCUGCAGUGUUUAAGCCCAUGACCACACAACACAGAAACAUGCUUGUGCUAAAUGUGAACAAGUGGUGUUAGACCUUCAAGCGCUUCCUUGCUGUAUCUGUGUCAGACCUGGACCAGGUUGGCAGAACACUUGCAGCUAACGUUGCUUGCAUAGAAAUAGCCCACAGAGACAGCAGCCAGAUCUCUGAGCUCUCACCCCAAGUUUUACAUAACUGCAGCCCCAGGGGAGUUGUGUACAGCCCUGGCCAAGGGCUGCAGGCUGUCCCCCUGGCUGCCGGCCCUGUGCCCUUGCUGAUGGCUUGCUUCCCUGCCUCACAACUCCCUCCCCGCCACAGCUCUGAUUCCAUGGGCAGGAGAGGGAUGCCUGUGUCCCCGAGAGAACCAUGCUGCAGGAGGCACAUGUGUAGCCCAGUGGUGGGGCAGGCUCCCUCCAGGCUACACAAAGCCCAACCCUGGGGUACCGAAGGGCUCAUGGGGACCCCUGGGAGGCAGCCUUGGGGUUGAGCGUGUGUAACCCCAGCUUUCCUCUAAAACAAAAAGCGAGGCUCUCAGCCUUUGUCCAUGCUAGGAAGCUAAACAUGUGAACUGAAGUAACCCAUUUGCUAAGAUUGAAUGCAUCUGGAUGUCUCUGAGCGCAUCUGGGCUCCACUUCUCUAGACAGAGGAUGGAGGGGGAGGGGAAGAGAGACUGGGGAGGGUUAAGAUAGGCAGGAGCACAUACAAACACACAUGUAUUUUUAAGGAAAUAUGAGUCACUUGCACUUCAAGGUUAUUCCAAAAAUCAACUCCCAGACCUCCCCCAACUCCUGCCCCCAACUCUUGAGGCAGGCCCUGUGCAACCGGGUGUGAUAAAUAGGGAUAAAAAUUGGAUACAUCUGUGGGGAGGAGGCAAAGUGCUAUUUUCCAACCUGCCCUGACAUGCUAAGGCCACUGCACUGUUGAGUCCUUGCCCUGGCUUGGAGCUCCGUUCCUGCCGCUGUAGGUGGGGUGAGAGGCACAGAGCGGGCAGGGGGUGGCUGUUGAUGUGGGAUCCCCUGUCCUGCAGUCACUGACCCUGGUGCAUGAGGAGCUGGUACCAGGUGGGCAACAAAUCUCUCUGCAGCAGCCAGCUGCAGGUCUGGCACUGCCUGUGCUUAGAAGUACUGGGGCAUCGGACAGGGUGACGGGCCACCGCCGGGACAAGAAAUAGUGCAAAUGGGACAGUGGGACAGCAUUUCGUGCUGGUGCCUCUGGGGGAAGCUUUGGCAGCAGUCAGGCUCUGUGUCACACAGGCCCUAAGAAUGGCAAGGCAGGGCGCUGCAGAGCAGACCCUCUGCUUCAGCCCCCAGUAAAGUGGGCUCUGAAACCCCAUCUUUGACACAACUUAUAGCUGUCACGUGCUGCCUGCAUGCCUGACAUGUCCCCUGGUCUGCUGCUCCCCCCGAUGUGCUUACCUUGCCAGCAGCACUGCGACCUGUGGGCAGUCUGGGGGCACCUGACUUCCCUGUCAGCAGUCCAUGAGAUGCUGACAGCCAUCUGUGCCAGCGGCUCCAGCCUCUUCCAGGUGUAAACAGCCCGCAUUCGUGGCCACAUGACAGCAAAUCUGCACUCACCAGUAAAUGCCUUUCGCUUAGUCUUAUCAAGAAGAAACUGAACAUGCUGGCUCAGCAGAAACUGGAGCAAGGCUUGACUACAAAAAAGAUUAUUCUGCUUUAACAAGGCUUCCCCUUCGAAAGAAUAAUAUUGGCAGUACUAAAGCCCAGAUCGGAAACAAUGUGUGGCUUUUGUUUUCUUUUUUUCCUAUACUUUUUUCCUCCUUCAUUCUUGGUGUUGGGACUGGAGAGGAAAGUCUCUGUCUUGCCAAACUAAACAAAUUACGCUUUACAAUUCGGAGACUUAAAUGCCUUUUUUUUAUCAUCAUUUCCUUAGCUUUGAGUGUUGAGAAAAUAAAGCAGUAGUAGGUGAAGUGAUUGCAUACCCUUUUCUUGAUGGCCACUGGCAAACAAAUCCAGCCAGUUGUUUCUCUUUAAAGCUAUUAAGUUUGCCUGGAAACCAUCCCUGGGCAGACCUCCCCCCACACGCUCUCCAUACCAGCAAGAAAUGAAUCAAUAAAGCAGAGCCCCUUCCUGCUAUUCUUACCACCCCUGCAGAUCUCUCCACUUCCCAUGACAGCGCGUGAGCUCAAACCCCUCUGACCACACUGAAGGAAAGGCACUGAUUCGGCCGUGCCGGGAAUGCAGACGCUCACUUA
Non-coding RNA from Meleagris gallopavo (turkey), 7354 nucleotides. The record is from RefSeq and is a predicted model, not a curated record. Lineage: Eukaryota; Metazoa; Chordata; Aves; Galliformes; Phasianidae.